Molecule: non-coding RNA, 94 nt
Organism: Mycena latifolia
Lineage: Eukaryota; Fungi; Basidiomycota; Agaricomycetes; Agaricales; Mycenaceae
Source: the annotation of a GenBank genome assembly
GGCCUGAUAGCACAACUGGUUAAUGCAUCUACUCAGUAUUCAUGAUUCCGAAGCUUUCCAGUGGAAGAUCCCCGUUCGAUUCGGGGUCAGGCUA